AAUCUUCAUCCGAUAUGAGUUUCCACAAUAUGUUCUUCUGGCAAUCGUCUCUAUUUUUAUCAAAGAAAAACUUAAAGCUGAAUCUGUACACACUCAGUAAUUUAAAUCUUUCUGAUUUUCAUUCUGAAAUGUAGGUAUCACUUUUUAAAAGUAUAAUCUCUUCAAACCUUUUUAACUUUUGGAGUUGAGACGGGACAUUCAAGCUGAAAUGGGAAUUAGCAUUCGAUUGGUCCUGAUAUUCAAAGCUUGUUUCGUACGUCCAUUCAAAUCAGGUCCACCACUUGGGUAGACCUUAGGAACUUCCAAAGUGCAAUGGAAGUUGCUUCCCUAGGCCAUGGGCCUCAAUGAUCACCCAUUGACCCCAUCCAGUUUCCGGCCCGGUGAGUGGAGUUGCUUUGCCUAGGAUGACAGGCGCGAGAAAAGUUGGAACGGUGUAAACUCUUUACAGGCAGCGUCGCUCCUCAAAAACAUAUGCUCUCCAUCGAGCUUCUAGUUUUCGGAGUUGAGACUGGGGAAAGUUGAGAAGGGAGCUGUGUUGGUCGGUUCUUUUUCCGCAAAAGAGGUAUCACUUUUUAAAAGUAUAAUCUCUUCAAACCUUUUUAACUUUUGGAGUUGAGACGGGACAUUCAAGCUGAAAUGGGAAUUAGCAUUCGAUUGGUCCUGAUAUUCAAAGUUUGUUUCGUACGUCCAUUCAAAUCAGGUCCACCACUUGGGUAGACCUUAGGAACUUCCAAAGUGCAAUGGAAGUUGCUUCCCUAGGCCAUGGGCCUCAAUGAUCACCCAUUGACCCCAUCCAGGUAAGUAUGUUGUCAAGUAGGCAGUGCAUCUCUAUUUAUACCUUUGUCAGAAUUCUUUUCUUUUACUCCGUCGAUGAGGGAAGCUU
This is a long non-coding RNA of Daucus carota subsp. sativus, 883 nucleotides long. RefSeq lists it as uncharacterized. The record is from RefSeq and is a predicted model, not a curated record. The transcript is spliced from 5 exons. Lineage: Eukaryota; Viridiplantae; Streptophyta; Magnoliopsida; Apiales; Apiaceae.